GAUGAACGCUGGCGGCGUGCCUAACACAUGCAAGUCGAGCGAACAGACGAGGAGCUUGUUCCUUUGACGUUAGCGGCGGACGGGUGAGUAACAAGUGGAUCACCUACUUAUAUGUCUGGGAGAAUAUCGGGAAACCGGUGCCAAUACUAGAUAAUAUAUUGAACCGCAUGGUUCAAUAGAUAAUGACGGCUUUGGCGUCACUAUUAGCUGGUUCCGCGCUGCAUUAGCUAGUUGGUAAGGUAACGGCUUACCAAGGCAACGAUGCGUAGCCGACCUGAGAGGGUGAUCGGCCACACUGGAACUGAGACACGGUCCAGACUCCUACGGGAGGCAGCAGUAGGGAAUCUUCCGCAAUGGGCGAAAGCUUGACGGAGCAACGCCGCGUGAGUGAUGAAGGUCUUCGGAUCGUAAAGCUCUUUUAUUGGGAAAGAACAGAUGUGGAAGUAACUAUGCCCGUCUUGACGGUACCUAAUCAAAAAGCCACGGCUAACUACGUG
Molecule: ribosomal RNA, 497 nt
Filed under: uncultured bacterium
Lineage: Bacteria
Description: partial 16S ribosomal RNA
Rfam family: Bacterial small subunit ribosomal RNA
Source: RNAcentral